Molecule: ribosomal RNA, 468 nt
Filed under: uncultured bacterium
Lineage: Bacteria
Description: partial 16S ribosomal RNA
Rfam family: Bacterial small subunit ribosomal RNA (bases 49-468)
Source: RNAcentral
GGGGGGGGGGGGCGGGGGGCGGGGGGGGGGCGGGGCGGGCGGGGGGGCGCGGCGGGGGUGGGGGGCUCGGGUGGCGAACGGGUGAGUAACACGUGAGUAACCUGCCCUUGACUUUGGGAUAACUUCAGGAAACUGGGGCUAAUACCGGAUAGGAGCUCCUGCUGCAUGGUGGGGGUUGGAAAGUUUCGGCGGUUGGGGAUGGACUCGCGGCUUAUCAGCUUGUUGGUGGGGUAGUGGCUUACCAAGGCUUUGACGGGUAGCCGGCCUGAGAGGGUGACCGGCCACAUUGGGACUGAGAUACGGCCCAGACUCCUACGGGAGGCAGCAGUGGGGAAUAUUGCACAAUGGGCGGAAGCCUGAUGCAGCAACGCCGCGUGCGGGAUGACGGCCUUCGGGUUGUAAACCGCUUUCGCCUGUGACGAAGCGUGAGUGACGGUAAUGGGUAAAGAAGCACCGGCUAACUACGUG